AGCGACUCUCGGCAACGGAUAUCUCGGCUCUCGCAUCGAUGAAGAACGUAGCGAAAUGCGAUACUUGGUGUGAAUUGCAGGAUCCCACGAACCACCGAGUUUUUCUGAGCGUC
This 113-nucleotide ribosomal RNA is filed under the name Bryonia aspera. Its description in RNAcentral is "5.8S ribosomal RNA". It matches the Rfam family "5.8S ribosomal RNA", at positions 1 to 108 of the family's 154-position model. From Rfam's summary of the family: 5.8S ribosomal RNA (5.8S rRNA) is a component of the large subunit of the eukaryotic ribosome. It is transcribed by RNA polymerase I as part of the 45S precursor that also contains 18S and 28S rRNA. The record is from RNAcentral. Lineage: Eukaryota; Viridiplantae; Streptophyta; Magnoliopsida; Cucurbitales; Cucurbitaceae.